AUUUCCCAUUUCUUCGGAAAGUAAGAUCCCUGAAAGAUGAUCAGGUAGAUAGGUUUGGAGUGGAAGUGUAGCGAUACAUGGAGCGGACAAAUACUAAUCGAUCGAGGACUUAACCAAAA
RNAcentral lists this ribosomal RNA (119 nucleotides) under Listeria monocytogenes. Its description in RNAcentral is "partial 23S ribosomal RNA". It matches the Rfam family "Bacterial large subunit ribosomal RNA", at positions 2809 to 2925 of the family's 2925-position model. The record is from RNAcentral. Lineage: Bacteria; Bacillati; Bacillota; Bacilli; Caryophanales; Listeriaceae. RNAcentral also lists the same sequence under 1 other name.